UUUUGAGUUCUUUUCAUCAGGGUUGCAAGACGAUCCUGAAGUUGUUCCCAGCUGCGGUGAAGACUGAGGCUAUUUAACCCUUCUUCCCUGCUAUUACAACAUUUUUUCUUCUGGAGGUCGCUUUCCAAGGUGGUGUAAUUUUUCUCAGGAGCUCUGACUUAUGUUCUUGAUUGAAGCCUGUUGCCCGAGGAACGUAGCUUUGUCUUGGCUGAGCGAUGCUAGCAACUUUUAAAGGGGCGUUUGGAGAGCAUCUACUCCAUUUUCAAGCAGAAGAGCACUCUCUGAACUUGAAGGAUUGGAACACCAGGACAUCUGCAUUGACAGGUGCCUGAGUUUGUUAGAACUCCAGUUCAACUUAAGUUGGAGCUGCGGCAGCACCCUGGAAGUGAGGCUGGUUGUUUGGAUUCCCUGAUGCGUUCCGCUGCCUAAAUUCUUGUUUCCAAACAAGAACAAACUCUCCCCCUGCUUUGAAGCUGUGCCAAGCUAAAGAUUGAUCUCAACAAGCUCUCCAGAGGGAAGCACAAGUGGCAGUGUUUUGCAGGUAUCUUUCAGGAGGUGCCUUGGAAUAUAGCUGUCAUGAACCAAGCCAAAGUAGGAGCAAACCGUUCAUCCUACGGAAAAAUCCUGAUCCUGCUGUGCCUGCCAGAGAAGUUUGGUUGGUGGGAGCUGCGUUUUUGGCUGCUUUCUUAUAGCUGUUUCCUACAACACACUGUGCUGUUUGUUUCUUUGUGAGGUGUGAGCUCCCUCAGUAAGAGGUCUAAAUCUAUGCAGCUGGACUCUGGAUGUAACUUCGGUCACCAGCUAUGAUUGCUGUUUCUGUCUGUUCUGUGUGAAUUCAGAUGUUAGUGGUCAGUGCUAGCAAUGGACCCAAAGGCUAGCCAUCCUCGUUAGAGCAGUGCAGUCUCGUGGUUAGCAUGCGGGACCAGAAGCGUGAUGCCUUCUGCACACACAGGAUGAAAUUUGGGUUGUUUUGUGAUUAGCAUUUUGCAGGGCAGAGAGGGAAGGUCACUGCAUUGAAGUGAAUGCAACGGAAAUGUGAAUUGAAGACUUCCCCCUGAAAUGUGAGCGUGUGGAUGGUCUAGAUGGCUUUCCAACUGAGGCCAAAAAAACCCUGAGUUUAUCUCCUGCCUGAAAUUUUAAAGAUAAAUUGUUUGAAAAUGUUGUUUGUUAUAGACAACUGUGUGACUCUUCGUUGGAGCUGGGUAUGGAUAUAGGCUUGUUGAUUUGUGCAGCUGAAUAUUUCAUUGCCACAGUUCAAAGGCUCAUACAGAAUGCUCUGGGCAGAAUCAAAGCUGGAUUCCUCUACUAGAAAUUCAGAAUAAUUUCACUUACUUCAAAAAUCUGCUGCUGCAGUUGGCCUGAGGGGGUUUCAUACCAAGCUGCAUGAUUUUUUCUUGGUUGUUUUUCUCAAUUUGGGAACACGGCAAUUGUUGGGCUCAUCCCAGAAUGAUCUCGGUCCUUUUCUAAAAGGCGUGUAUCACUUGGGUCCCUCUGCAGUGACAGCAGCAUAAAGAUGAAUUCCAUGUUCUUGUUGUGAGCUUGGUUACUUUGUUGGCUGGUGCCUUUAGCAAGCUGCUGUCAGCCUGGCUGAUUCAGUUCACUGCAGUAUCUUGAGUUUUUUCCAGUGCUCCUCAUAUUAUUUACUUUAUUCUUGUGUGUCAGGUAGUGUCUCAGCAUAAGCAGUUACUCCCAGAAUAACAUUUCUGCAACCUUUUCCUAACCCCAGUCAUACUCCGGUGUGCGUACUGAUUACAAAGACUCUGUUUGGCUUGGUUGCAAUCUCCUUAUUUGAUUGCUCCCCCUGCUUGCUGGGGCUCUGAGACCUGCUCUUUCUCGAGGCAUUUUCCUCCUCAUAUACUUCAGGCAUUUUUAUAUUAUUUCUCCUGGCAACGUGUUCUCUUGGAUAUUUUUUUUCUUUAAUCUCUCUUUCAUUUUUCCUGUCAAAGUCUGUUCCACUGCAUUAAAGACACAUGGGCUGGAUUUAUGAUGCCUGAAAUGGAUACCUUUUUGGCCCUAAAGCUCAUCCCCUGCCAUACUGCUGGAAAUGAUUGCGACUUUUCUGCAUCUUGAAAGUAAAUAUCUCAUUGAACUCAGGCAGGCGUGUGUGGUGCUUUUGGAGCCAGGGAAUAUUUAUUUAAUCUCCACGUAGGGAAGCAGAGAGUGAAACCCUAGAUCCGUUCAAAUCACCGGGGCUUUCCCUGGGCUUCAGCUGAGCUGUGCCUCUGUGUUCGGGUUUGGGAUCUGUAGGUGGCCCUCCAGCCAGGGGAGGUUGAAAGCACGAGGCAGGCUUCUCAGCCCUCUGCUCGGGGAUGAGAGGCUGAGCUGAGGGUCAGCUGGCUGCAGAAAGAGAUGGAGGAUUUGGAGACGAAGGACCAGGUUUUCUUUCCUGGUUCUUUCACCGGCCUCUUGAAAGAUAUUUAUGUUUCAGUGUUUGCUUGGAAAGGUGCCUCAGCAGCACGGUACUGUUUGGGUGAGUAAUUUUGCUGGUGUACUGCAGUUGUGUGAGAGGUUCUGGAGACACGUGUCCACCUGGGACAUGCUAAGCCCAUGAAGCAAGAGAUAAGCUUAAGCCACAGGUUUGUGCAGGUGCUGAAGGGUGUUGCCUGGAUGAAGCCUUCAUCUGUUCCCCGUGAAUCGUGGUGCUGCGUCCCAGUGGAAGUUGUCUGGUUUGGUGACAAGCCCAGCUUACAGCCCCAGCAGAGAAGUUUGAUGAAAUAAAAGGUAGAUGAAGCGGUGUCUCCAUAUUCCCAUCCCCAGCUGAAGAGCAGUCUAAACAGUGAAAACUGUCGGGAGUGCUUAUGGAGAGAAGCAACGUCGGGAGCUGAAGAUAAGAGCAUUUAUCUUCACGUCAAAACUACUCAGUGUCUGAUGGGCUCCCAACGCACUUCAACAAGGAGCUUAGGCUGGAGACACUGGGAUGUGAGGAAUGUGGGGGGGAGCGUUUAUCCCACCGAAACGUGGCGUGCAUCAAAUCAAUUACACGGUGCAAGCAUAUUUCCCCCCUCGUCACCAGACAGUGUCGCGAGCUCGAAGAAAAUCGGUUCUCUCGGGCACUAGAGGAGCCUCCCUUUGGAUGCUGAUUUAAUGUGAAACGUAUAUUAAAGGAGAGAGGGAGAAGGGGGAUCUCAUAUGUUCUGCUGCAGAUUGCCACAUCGAUCUUGUCGUUCAGGCGAGCACAGCUGGACCUGAGGCUGUGGGGCUGUGGGAUGUGCUGCCUUGCUGUCGGGAGCUGUCAGCAUCAGAGGAGCACAGGAGAAGGAGGCACUGUGGCGGUAGAAAGUGCAGUGAUAAAGGGAUCAACGAGCCGUUUAAGGGGAAAUCAAAGCAGGUGCCACUUUGCGCCCACUGUUUUGGCUUGUGCUCAUUUUCAGCAGCUAGAAACGUGCUCUGCCCUCACCUCGUCCCCCAGUGCAGUGGUGAAGGGAGGAGGCCCGCUGAACCCUCCCUGCUGCCGUCUCUGAGCCAGCUCCUCCCUGAGAAUUGCUCCUUUGAGCUCACACCCCAGCUCACAGCCCACAUUGCACAAUGCUGAUGGCCAGUCUGGGAGUCUUCGCUCCAACAGAUACACUGGCAAACUUCUUAAUUUAUAGCAGGCCUCGGGCAUCCCUCUGCCCGGUGUUUAUGCACUGUGUGGAAUGGUGUCGGUGCUUUGGGAUACUUGUGCUUCUCCCAGGCAGAGCAGAGACACUAGAGAGCGCCCUGCAUUUGCAGAUUUUGACUUGGGAAGCAGAGUGUGAGGAUGUGAGCGCUCCCUGAGGAGAGGACGUGGGAGACAACUGAUCUCAGGACUCAACCUGGUCUUGCUCCUUGAGACAGCCAGGAAGAUGUGUGUUUGGAGAGGAUUUUUCACGUAGACAGGUGUAGCUGCAGUUGCAAUAAAGCUUUGUGUUUCCUCCAGUGAUCUCCUUGUCUUUGGACAUGACAGAACAGGAGGUGCGUUUGGACCAGCAGACCUCCACUUUUCAUGCACAGCCUCUGUCUCAUCUCAAACACAGCCACCAAGACAGCACCAGCAGGGGCCUGGCCAGUUAUCUCCUCUCCUAAGGAAGCUUUCAGAGCACUUGUCAAAAGAAAGAGACACCUGCAGGAGUGUGGUUCUCAGGGAAGGACAGCCCUUCCUCUGCUCGUUUCUGGGACCCUGCAGCUUCCAGCUCCUUUACCCAAGGUGAUGGAGUAGGAAUAAAGGGAAGAGAGGAAGCAGCACAUAGAGACAUUAAUUGGUUGCUGCUUCCCUGCUCAACACUGCUGGUGGAAAAAGAAAACCUGGCGAUCAUCCGUAGUGCACAUGGGCUUCAUAGUACUUGGCACAAGGCAGCAUGCGAGAUGAAAGUGUGUCUCUUGACAGCCAGCUCCGUACUGGCAGCCUUUACUCCAGGCAACAAAUUAAUCCACUCAACUGUGUUCUGCAUAAUUGUUGAUACUGUCUUAAUUGGUACCAUACGUUUCCCUGUGUCGACAUGUCCAUCAUGUUAAUGUCUGGGGACUGUUGUUUCCUGCCAACUCGGGAACAGUGGAGCCUGCUCUGUCCUAACUAAACUUCUAGCUAAAAAAGCCUCGGUGAAGAAGUGUGACUCCGUGGCAAAGGGGAAAUGCAGAGCCAUGUUGGGGCAUGACUCAAAAUUCAUGAGUACAAAGGAAAAAAAAGGGACUCCUGAUUUUGGUAGCAGUUGGAGCUGAGCCAGCUCUUCCAGGGCUCCCUGAGGACAAUUGAGUUCUGCUUAAGUCAAAUCUGAAGGCAGAAGAGCUGAUCUGCCUGCUCCUAGGAAAUAAGGGGUGGGGGCGGCAAGCAUUUUUUAAGUGUCCUGGGCAAGACAGCUGCAGAGCUAAUCGAGCCCGGUGCACUGGUGGCUUUGUGGAUUGGGAUCAGCGUUUUGCUUAAUGACAGGCAGCUUGGACAGAGCCUGGAGGGCACACACAGGCUGCUGUCCUCUCAGUUCCUCCACGUGCUGAGGUCGCAGGGGCUUCGUUUGAUCAGCAGGAAAGUCCUGGGGAGGUAGAGAGCUGGGUGCAGCCCAGGUGAAGACGACUGCGUGAGCAUCACCAGCAUCAGCUCCUGAGAGAAAAAGGCCACCUCGUCACCAGUUUUCUGGGGGAAGAAAAUGUCAUAAACGGAUCUGGCUCAGACACUGCGGUAACUUUUGGUUGCUUCUGCUUUUGAUGUCUAAGUGAGCGGCCAUCAGCAUUGCUUCCUGCCAGGAGAUGUCACUUCUGGAAGCAGGGAUGAUGUGGAGCUAAUGCUGGCGGAGGGAGGAACAAUCUCUUUGCUUAUUGCGUCUCAUAGUGCUGGGGCUGCCAGUGGCCUGAGAGCCUUCACCCUGCCUGCCUGCUCCUGCCUUUCCCUCUGAAUGCUUUCUACCAGCCUACCCUUGCUGAGUUUUGGAGGCUAACAGUUUCAGCCCAAGCCAGAACCACUUAUCGCAUCUAGGCUCCCUUCCAGAAGAUUUUACACCUUGUGUAGUUCUCCUGGCCUCCCUGGAGCUGUAUCCCAGCGGGUUGGACGGGAGAUCCCCACGCCAGAGACCGUUCCUCGCUGAGACGGUAACAUCUGAAGGGACACGGAGCCAUAAAGUGAUGCACUGACAUGGGAGGCAGGCAAGAAAAGAGACAGUGACAAAUACCUCGUUCAAAAGUGCCCUUUGGGGAUAACCAAAGAACUGCAGAAUAACAGAGGCUGGAAGGAGUCCCUGUACGUACCUCAUCCAGUCCCUGAGUCAUGGUGCAGCUUCCCAAGACGGCCCUCAGAAGGAGCACUCUGGAGAGCUUGAGGCUGGUACAUACAGCAAGAGGUACGCCUUGGAGAUGCUCUUGACUGCCUCAAGACAUCCUGCUGAAGCUGACAUUUCUGUUAAAUGACUCCAUGCUGAUCACAUUAUUGCAGUAAAUGCUAAAUGAAUCUGAUGUUGAGCACGUACGUUCUUACCUGUCGUGAUAACUCUAUGUUAAUAUUACAUUAAUUAUUCCUGAGUUACAAUGCUGUUGGAUGUUGAUAAAGGCUGAAUGGCUUCAUGAAAUGCUGAUCCUGACAGUCCUGUGGCAGGCGCUAAAAUGUGAUUUCCAAGUCUUAGGGGGGAAAAAAGGAAUAUAUUACUAUUUCUGAUUAGAGGACUUCAGAAGAAACAUAUUCCAGUCACAUCUUGUGGAGCGCUCGCCUGAAUCCCUCUUGCUUUCAGUAGCUGUUGCCUUUGCAUAAGACAUAAAAAGGAAUAUACUCUUCACUUUUUCAGUUAAUAUUUUAUGGUGAUUGCUGAUGUAGAACCAGCUCAGCGUGUAUGAACACUUCUCUACAACAAAGACUGUGCGCAUACGGAGCUGCGGUCAUUUCCUUGGUGCAUGAGAGCUGAUGCGUUGGAGCAAAGCUGGCGGAGCAAACAUGGGGAGAUCACUUCUCGCUGGUACCACCUUCCCUGCAGUUUUGCAUCUGAGCUCUUGGACAGCUCUGCCGAGGCCCGUUUCUGCACACCUACUGGUUAUCCCAGGCAUCCCUUGUGUAACUCUGCAGUUUUCAUGGUGAACUUCGUGGUGAAGUUGAAGACUGCCAGGACUGGGAAAUCACAGUGCUUCAUUUCCCAGUGAAUUGAGCAAAAUAUCAGAAGAAAAAGGGUUUGGGAUAAAAUUACCAAAAGCACCUAAAUUGCUUAGGAAGCCUCAUUCGGCUGCACUAGUGAGAUUUCCAGCUAUAAGAAAAAAAUAUGAUGGAAGGGAGCAGGCAGACCCCAAAGGACUGUUUUCCAAGCAUAGAACGGGGCUUUUACCACAGAGAGAGGAACGAGAACUGAAGCAGCUCCAGCACCUGGGACCUGUUUAAGAAAAAGAGGAGAAGUGGAUGCAGGAUUUCAGAAGCAGAGCUCUACCUCCAGCUUCAGUUAUACAAGAAAAAGCAACAAAAGACACCGCCGACCCAAGCCUGGGCUGGCAACGUCUGGGACGCUGACCCCACAAAGCACCUGCAGAGGAGGGUGGCUCGAAGGGGGAGCCCAGCUUGCAGGUGCCAGGAGGCUUCUCGCAUGGUUAGGCGGAGGAACUGCAGGCUCCCCUCCCAUGACAAAGGGAGCAGGAGAAAGUGGAGCAAGAGGCUUUCCCUCAGCUUGUUCGUGGAAAGGCUUUGCCUGAGGGCUGAAUUCAGGUCAAAUCUGGAACUGGGACUCUGAAAGCAAACCUUUUCCCCCCAAAAAUGGUGCUGCAAAUUGGUCUUUCAGCCUUGUCUUCGGCCUGAUGUGUCACAGCAUGGCUUGGAGACGAGGUGUGCUGCCCUAUUGGAGCUUGGGGUCUGGCUGACCAGGUCCAGGAAGAGCCAGGAGUGCAGAUGGGCUUGCAGUGUUUGAAAGCUGCACAGACCUGUAAGUCGCUGUUAUUUAUAUAAAUUGGCCUGUCUCUUUUACAUCUGUAUUCUAAACAUCCGUUACAUGGCAAUACUGCUUUCAGUGGUGCGCCAAGUUUUCCUUCUAAAACACAUGUUCCCCAAAGCCUCAGUAUUUUAGUUCCUUUGUUCUGAUUUAUUGCUGUUGCCUUACCACAUCUGCUAGACGCAGAGGAGAAAAACCUCCCCAAAACGACAUAAGAGCCCUCUCUGCUCGCCUCCCCAGACCACAUACAUCAGGAUUAACGCGCUGAGUCUGUUAUAUAAAGUGAUUCAACAAUAAACUAACUCAGCUUUAAUUUCUUAUCUGCUUCCAAAUAGAAGUGCUCAUGAAGAAUAAGCGUCUGUGGGUUAAUAAUGCCAAGACUGAGAUAAAACCCAAAGCUACUGUGGGGAAUGGAAAGUUGGGAUAGAUGUUAAAUCUGGAGAACGAUAGAACGAGAUGAAAAUAUAAAUGUGUCAAUGGCUGCAUUUUCUAAAUCUAAGUAAGGAUUUUGUGGGUAUCAGUUUCUGUUUUUCCUCUGUCAAUACCUAAAAUGGCCUUGUUUUUCAAAGGAUGAACUCUCUUCUGUGAAGUAAGGCCCCUUUAUGGUAUCUCAGGGUAAGCAUCAAGCAAUUGCUGGUCACGUAAAGAAAUUGGCUGUUAUUGUGAAGAUUGUAGAGACGCUUGAGACAGAAAAGUUGUACUAAAGUUGGCUUUCCUGGAGGUUUUUCAGCUUUGAUCAUAGGGGAGGGAUACAGUUUUUCACUGGUAGUUAUGCUAAAGUGAGCAUCCCAUUUUCUCCCUCAAACACAGAGCUACAGCACAGAGCUUGAGCUGUGGCCAUGAGUCUGGUAGACCUCAGCAGAGAAAUUUUGGUUAAUACUUGGGGUACCCACAGCACCCACCUCCUGCACCCUCAGGCACGGCCAGGAAACAUUCCGGUCCGUACCCACAACUGGUUUUGUUUUAAUUCUGCAAAAACCUGCAGAAUUGCUGGAGUUUGUGCUGCAUUGAAUGCCUGUUGGACACAGUAUCCAAGCUGCCUCCUUGGCAGGAGGAGGUCUCUCUGCCGCAUCCAGGACACCUGGGCACCUUGCACAUCUCUGGGCAGGUAUUUUGAGUUUUCAGUAGCUGUGCUAGCAGGGUGCUGGGAUACCCUUUCCUCCCAGAACACCAUCAGCUUUAGCAAAAGCCAAGUUGACAUUCUUCUUCUUUUUGCUAGGGGGGAAACACAUCGUGUCCCGGUGCUCUGUGAGCACAAAGGUCCAAUGAAGCUGGGUGAUUGCAAGCGAAGGGAAGUCCUGGCAAAGAGGAACACUAUUCAUAUUUGUCAUCCUAAUAUCUUCCUUCUUUGUGUAAGCCAGCCCGACAGCAGGUUGUGCUCUGUCGGGUGCACUCACCCUGGUUGCUGGUUGAGCUGAUGUACCACGAGCUGCUUUUCUUCACUCAUUUCCUCCCUCUGAGGCACACUGGUGAUGUGAAGCUCGUUGUCAUAUUCAGGCCUGUUACUUGUGUUAGUUAACAAAGGAGAGCAUUCAAAAGCCUGCUCAGAGACUUUUUUUUUCUCAUUUUUAAAUGGAAACCAGCUUUCUUAGCAAACCGUAUUCAGGAAUGUGCUCCCUUGAAACCAAUAUGAAGCAACAGCAGUGGUUGCAGCCAGUUGCAACAUCUCGUCUUGCUAGAUGCAGGCAAAUCGUGUUACAAGUUGUGCUGCUAGCAAAAUCUCUGCAAAGGAAAUCUGCUGAGACCUGUAUAGCUGGGGGUUGCUAGCUCUUCUGAGGUGAGCUAAAGACCUAAUUUCACCUGGUUUCUUUGAAGAAUGAGCUCUACAUAUUGCAGCCAAGUUCAAUGAACUGAGGAUUCAGUAAGCCUAGACCUGACUUUGAGAGAAUUUGGACCGAUACGUUGUUUUUACUGGAAAUUGGGUCAAACUUUGACCCCAAACCAACAAAGCUUUCUGAUUUUGCACAAAUUUCAGGAUUCUGUUAGGUGGGGAAGUCAGAGAUGGCGAUGAAACAGAAAAUGCGCACUGCUGCAUGAGGCUCACCUAAUUCCUGAUGGCAAGACCAAAUCUGAACACAAUGGCCUGACCACUGCUGUGGUGAAAUUCAGAGCACGAAUACGGUAUAAUUGAUUUUUUUAAAUCAUAUUUCAUUCUAAAUUCUAUUGGAAAUGAAUUUUAGACCAUUCCCAUCUUUAAUCCAAACAGUACUUACAGCAGGAUAGCAGGAUACUCUGUACCAAAGUCCAGUGAACGAUAUGGAUCAGUAUGUCAUGUGAAACCCUUAGGGGCUUUCUCAAGGGGCAAGCUCUGUUUAGUUUGGGGGAAAUAAGACAAAUCACUCUAGUCUUGUUUAAAGUGCUUGUGAGAAGAUCUUUCUCAGAAAGGCUUAAGCGCAUUGGCCCUCUCCUGUUUUCCUAGAAAACAGGAAAUGAGUUUCAGCUCUGCAGUUAACUUGAUUUCUUAGGUGUCUUGCUUUCUGCAGUCACUUUUGGGGUCUAGAAUGCUACAGAAAUUAUCUGAGGGCAUUUUCAACACUUCAGAAUUAAAAUCAAAUUGUUGAAAUAUUGCCAACAUUUAAAUGAAAAUUACUUUCUCUAAACAAACACUUGAGGACUUUCCACACUUUUUUUUUUUUUUAUCACAAGAGCAUUCUUAGCCCAAACACCUUCUCUCUGUGGUUUCUCAAGUAUCCAGUCUGCACUGUUAAAACCAGAUGUGCCUUAGGAUGUAAUUGAAUACAAGACCUUUUUAGCCAAAAACUAGAUGAGUAAGGAGGGACAGUUUUUCACACAGCACAAUGAUGUAAGUGGGUAACUGCAAAUACCAUCCCUGUCUCUUUGCCCAUGGAGGUGUCUGGGCAGCAACACUGGUGCAGAUUUCUGCUGUGGAGGAGAGCUCAGGCAUGGGCCUGAGCAUCUGGGUCCCGUGCAACUCCUGGCAGUCAGCAAGGGAUAACAGAGGCAGGAGCUGGCUGGGAAAUUGCUGCUCUGCAGUGAGAGUUGGGUGGUUGUGGUUGUUCAGCACUCGGAUGCCACAGGUUGCAUUCACUCCAUCCGCACGUGCUUUUAACAAGUGCUGUUGUUCCUCUACCACAAAGGAUGCGUGUAAGUACACGAGACCAUGUGGCACCUGUGAUCUUGGGAUUUUGACAGGUUUCUCCAAAAUAUAAUAUUUUCUGCUAUUCACUUUUAACAUAUUUGCAGGAGGCUGCCUACAAGAUCGGUUUCCUAUUAAAAAUAUCCCAGUAUCACCAACUUUCCUAGCCUUUUCCUGCAACAGUAAGUAAGCUCUUUGCAAUGGCAGUAGCAAGGGAAGCAUUACAAAUCUUGAGACCUCUCCUCAGUAGCUUUAAAUGUCAUGACACUGACCUACAGAAGCUACAAACAAAACAGAGCUGCACAAAAACAUUUCAGCCCUAUGGACGUGGUAAUCCUUCAGACCACAACUCUGGAACGCUUUUCUGUAGUACAUAUUAUGAGGGUAACGCUGUUACUCUCAGCUGGCUUCUGCUUAGCUACCCAAGCAAGGCUGGAGCUGGAAAUGCGGAGAUGGAAGAAGAGAGAGAGGAUCUCCCAGGGGGUUUUAUUGGCCAGAAAAUGCUGGCUUGGAAAAGGAUGCGGAGCAUGUUCAAAUAAGAAUAGUCUGGAAGGAGUUUGUGAUGGGCUGUUAUUUCAUUACCAGCUAAGAGAUGUGAAAUUUCCUUUUCCGGAUGAGCAUAUUUCAUCUUUUGCAUAAGACAGCAAUUACUCCUGGUGAGACUUAACAGUUCUGGUAAUUUAACGAGUUAGCCCUGCAGAUUUACUGCAUCAGUCAUUGGAAAGGCCUCUUUGGCGUUCCACAAGCAAGUUUCAGACCUCUUGAUAAAGCCAGUAGCGUGCUGGUCUUUGACAAGCAGAAAGACCUUCAGAAGUAUGCAAGUUAUUGCUGGUAUGUUGUACUCUAGACAUGUCAAGGAAACAUGGAUUAUUUUUACACAAACAGGCGAAUCAAUAUAGUUCCUUAGCAAGCUCCCAUAAAAACCCUUGGGCCUUGAGAAAGUAGAAGGCGUAAGAAAAUCAUUGCUCUUGGAUUAGGCUUCCUAGAUGGAUCGUGCUGUCGCACAUUCAGUAGUUCACUUACAGCAGCUUGGACCUCUGACGAACGAUGGAGGGAGUGAAGGAUGAAACAGAAGACAGAAACAAACAAGGAAUUUAGAGAUAAUCCGGAUAUUUGAUCUUUAAUGAACUUAUCGUCAAAUGUAGACUGUGACAAACUGCAGAUGCUUUUGGAAGUUCUCUUUUAUAGCUGUUAAUUGGAAGGUGAUAUGUAGGUGUUGAGAGGGAAGGGAAAUUUCUGCAGCUGAAAGCAUCAGGCGGUGCUGAAGCAAGGUCACUGGAGUGUCCUAAAAUCUCUUGAUGCUCCAGCACACAGACUGCUCUACAACCUGCAAAUAUUGGAGGCUGUUUUGAAACUCUAUUAAGGAUGACAUAUGCUGACUGUAGUAUCUGGGUAAAGGCAAUUGGAUAUCCCAGCUAUGCCCUAGCUUGAUGUUUUAUGUCUGAGCUGGUGUUACUGUGUAGGGCUCCUGUGUGUUAGAUUGCCAAAACCAAAUUAUGACAUUGACUAAGGCUGAGUCCUCUGAUUAAGGCUAAAAAAAAAUUAAAAAAAAGGAAGAAAGUACAGCCUGGUCUUGGCUCUCAGUGUAGAUAAGUAUUUUUCUGAAGAGCAAAGGGGAUAUUUAUAGAAAAGAGGUGCAAAGCAUACGUAAACAUUGGUGUUUUGUGCACAUCCUCAUCCAUAGUUGUUCCUUUGGGUAGUGUUUUUUCAGGUUCAACACCCUUGUCAAAAUUCAGGUGUGGCACUUGUUGCUUUGGCUUGGUGGAGGCACAGCUGCCUACUUUAAGCAUCAUUUUGGCCUAGCUGGUGUCAUUAAGGUUUCCAUAGGGUCAUGUCAGCAAUUACUGCUAACUAGAUUUUUUUUCUCAGAGCGAGGGUAGUUCUUUUGCAGAUAUUUCAUCACAGGAAAAAUAACAGGGAAGAGGCCACGCUUGUGCAAUGAAAACCCCCGAAGCUGAGUGCUGCUUCAGCCUUGCAUUUAACAUUUGUCAUUCGCCUUUGAUGAGAAGAAGGGGAGCUCUCAAUGUGGUGCCAACACAACAGCAAACAGCAGGAGAAGAGACUGAGACAAGUAGCUCUGAUGCAUUUCACUGGAUGGAUGAGGGCUGGAUUACACAGUGCUUGCUGAAGGAGGCGUUUUGGCCAGCACAUGUCACUAGAGGACAAGUUUGGGGUUUUGCUGAGCCCUGCAGGAAUGACCUGUUAGCUCCAGAGUAAGAGGCAGACCUGAACGUCUACGAGUGACAACUGGGAGUGAGUACAAAGAAGAAGGAGGACGAGUUGCAGCUCCAGGUGGGUUUCUGAGUACUCACAUGUGGUCUCCAAAAACAAUGGGCGGAUGCUUCCCAAAAUGUGUGAUUUCGUAAAAUACUGUGUAUAAAACCAGGGCUUUUGGUCUCCUUUGUAACCUUGUGUGAUGUUAUAAAGAGUUGCAGGUCGUGUGCUUGGAUGCUGGGAGAAGUCUCUGCUGAAAGUGGUUUCCAGGCAUCUUGCUGGCAAGAGACAAGUGGUAAUGAAGGACAUUAGGCUUGAGAACACCUCAGAUCGAUAUUGAAAAUAAGUGAAAGCCAUGUCUGCUCUUGAGCAACGGCAGCUGGGCAUCUCAGCAGGUGUCUCUCCUCACUGCAUGAUAGGGGGCUAGCCUGGCCCUCCUUCAUGAUGUGGAGCUGGUGUUAGCAGCCUCUGGGAGGCUUAUUGAUGCUUCAGAGCCACCAGCCCCUUGUGCAUGUGUACAGGAAGGCUCUGAAGCCAUGGUGGAUCCAGGUGGGUCCAGUUUAAUCUGAAUUUACAGCUCUUGGCAGAUUUGGGUGACGCAUAUCUCCUUAAUGCUUUACCCGUCAGCCUUAAAUUACAAGGAGAGCUGUGUAUCAUAUGCUUUGCCUAAACUGGGAAGUUGAUUUUCCCUUUCCAUGUUGGGGUGUUGUUUUAUGCAUGUCAGAAACAGACCCGUAGCCUUCAAGCCAUUUAACCAUAAAUCUGGUUUAAUUCUCCUAUGGACUUCUAUGCUUGCAGUGAGUCAAGGUCUUACAAAAUUUUGAUUUUCCUAAACUAAGCUUCAUGGAAAGUGAAACUUUUUUAAUGUCACAGAAAUGAAAUAACAAUUUUUAUCAUUCCAGGUGCAUCGCUACACUGAUUUCCAUUUUCUUUCAAUUUUCAAAUAUGUGAAGAAAGAACUGUAUUAACAGUUAGUACCGAGCGAGGUAGGAGGCUUUCACUAACCUUCAAGACUGCAUAUUGUAUAUUUUUUCUGACUUUUCUAUAAAUAAAAACAGCUAUUAAGAUGUAAUGCCUCUGGCUGUUGUAUCCGAGGAUAAGUGUUUGAGAUGCAAUGAGAGAUGCUCAGGGAAUUGAUAAGUCUUCAGAAAAAAAAAAUUUCCUGAGAUCAAUUUCCUGAUUCAAUAGCAAAGUCCUCAUAUCAUAUAAAAUGUAAUGUGAUUGUCCAUGGCUCUAAUAAAAUCUUGAUUUUUCUACCAAAUUUAUGUCUAUAAAAAUCAAAUUUAUCCAGCAUUAGUCUGCAUUUUAAAAGGGAUAGGUUUUUCUUGAUAUGAUAUUAAUCCUUUAUGGUACAUUA
Non-coding RNA from Anas platyrhynchos (mallard), 14011 nucleotides. Lineage: Eukaryota; Metazoa; Chordata; Aves; Anseriformes; Anatidae. The record is from RefSeq and is a predicted model, not a curated record.